GAAAAUUAGCCGUUUAAUAAACAAUCUAGGACCAGGACUGAGCUUCUUACCCCCACCAUCUCUAACUCCAAUCUUGCAUUCAAAUUAUUCCUUCUCCCCACAUACAUUCAUGGUAAACCUUGACAACUCAUAAACAGGUACGAAAACUCAAAAACUAAAAGUACGCAUUGCGAGACCUCAGAACUCACUUGUGACCGGAGCAUGCUCCGUCCACAAGAAUGCAAAGGAAUGCACCAGGCCGGCUAGCCCUAGAACUCACCUGCAACCGGAGCAUACUCUGUCCACAAGAAUGCAAAGGUAUACACCAGACCGGCGAGCCCACCGCCGAUGAGCGGGCCGACGAUGUAGACCCAAAUAUCCGUAUAAUCACCGCUGGCCACAGCAGGUCCGAAAGACCUGGCCGGGUUCAUUGAACCACCGGAGAAAGCACCGGCAGCUAGAAUGUUAGCGCCGACGAUAAAGCCGAUGGCCAAAGGAGCGAUGGUUCCCAGCGAGCCCUUCUUCGGAUCUGCGGCGGUGGCGUAGACGGUGUAGACGAGGGCAAAAGUGAUGACUAUCUCCAUCACCAGACCUUGAAUGGAUCCGACUCCGGCUGAUAGUGCAUGAGGGGGAGUGCUCAUUCCAGUAGCAGCCUUGAGCAGAAACGAGCCAGCAAUGGCGCCAACAAGCUGAGCAAUCCAGUAGAAUACCCCAGUCAGUACAGUAAUAUGUCCUCCGAGAGCCAACCCGAACGUCACAGCUGGGUUAACAUGUCCGCCGGAGAUGUUAGCUCCGACGGACACCGCUACAAACAAGGCAAACCCGUGACAGAGAGCCACCGCUACGAGCCCCGCCGGGUCGAGGGCUGCAUUGUCUGUCAGUUUAUUGUAGGCGAUGACGGAGCCGACACCGGCGAAGACGAAGAGGAGGGUGGAGAUGAACUCAGCCAGGUAGGCUUUGAUAGUUCCGACGCUGAAGGAGUCGGUGAAGCUGCCAAAGGAGAAACCGGCCAUUGAUUUGGUGUGGGAUAAGAAGGUUGUCAGAUACAGAUUCGGAGGAGGAU
This 1042-nucleotide unclassified non-coding RNA is filed under the name Hevea brasiliensis (rubber tree). Lineage: Eukaryota; Viridiplantae; Streptophyta; Magnoliopsida; Malpighiales; Euphorbiaceae. The record is from RNAcentral.